This 483-nucleotide ribosomal RNA is filed under the name uncultured bacterium. RNAcentral's name for it is "partial 16S ribosomal RNA". It matches the Rfam family "Bacterial small subunit ribosomal RNA", at positions 28 to 507 of the family's 1533-position model. The record is from RNAcentral.
AUUGAACGCUGGCGGCAUGCUUUACACAUGCAAGUCGAACGGCAGCGCGGGCUUCGGCCUGGCGGCGAGUGGCGAACGGGUGCGUAAUGCAUCUGAACGUGCCCAGUAGUGGUGGAUAGCCCGGCGAAAGCCGGAGUAAUGCCGCAUCCGACCUGAGGCUGAAGACGGGGGCCCGAAACGCCUCGCGCUAUUGGAGCGGCCGAUGUCGGAUUCGCUAGUUGGGGGGGUAAAGGCUUACCAAGGCGACGAUCCGUAGCUGGUCUGAGAGGACGACCAGCCACACUGGGACUGAGACACGGCCAGACUCCUACGGGAGGCAGCAGUGGGGAAUUUUGGACAAUGGGGGCAACCCUGAUCCAGCCAUGCCGCGUGCGGGAAGAAGGCCUUCGGGUUGUAAAGCGCUUUUGUUCGGGAAGAAAUCCUCUGGGCUAAUACCCCGGGGGGAUGACGGUACCGGAAGAAUAAGCACCGGCUAACUACGUG